This is a long non-coding RNA of Saccostrea echinata, 265 nucleotides long. RefSeq lists it as uncharacterized. The transcript is spliced from 4 exons. NCBI's taxonomy places the organism in Eukaryota, Metazoa, Mollusca, Bivalvia, Ostreida, Ostreidae. The record is from RefSeq and is a predicted model, not a curated record.
AGAACCAGAAUAAGAUUGUAGGGAAAUAAGCCUUGUUACAAGGUUUGAGGGUCUCUGCUAGAAUCAUGUGGACCCCAGUGUAACAAAUCUAUGGAAAGAGAGAAAAUCUCAGCUCAAGGGUCAACAUGUCUUUAUUCCAAGAAAGAGUGUACAUAUGCCAGAAUCAUAUGGACCGCAGACUGGCCCUGGUGAUUCCGUUAAGAAAAAAGAGGAAAAAUCAGUGCUUGUGCUCAUUGGUCAUUGGACAAAGGGUGAAUGCCAGAAU